UGCAUGUCUGGAGGGACCAAGGAAAGUGUGGAGACGCUCCAAGGAUUAGGUGAUCCGAGCUUGAAAAGAAAAAAAGCCAAACAAAUAAACAAAACCCACCCACCCUAACAAAUAUGAGGCUGCUGGAGAGAAUGAGGAAAGACUGGUUCAUGGUCGGAAUAGUGCUGGCGAUCGCUGGAGCUAAACUGGAGCCGUCCAUAGGGGUGAAUGGGGGACCACUGAAGCCAGAAAUAACUGUAUCCUACAUUGCUGUUGCAACAAUAUUCUUUAACAGUGGACUAUCAUUGAAAACAGAGGAGCUGACCAGUGCUUUGGUGCAUCUAAAACUGCAUCUUUUUAUUCAGAUCUUUACUCUUGCAUUCUUCCCAGCAACAAUAUGGCUUUUUCUUCAGCUUUUAUCAAUCACACCCAUCAACGAAUGGCUUUUAAAAGGUUUGCAGACAGUAGGUUGCAUGCCUCCGCCUGUGUCUUCUGCAGUGAUUUUAACCAAGGCAGUUGGUGGAAAUGAGGCAGCUGCAAUAUUUAAUUCAGCCUUUGGAAGUUUUUUGGUAAGUAAACAUAGUUUAACUUGUCUAUUACAACUUUUGCUGUGAUAUUGUGUAUAUGAAAGAUUUAGUGAAAGCUGGAUUUGUUUUACUCUUUGGUUAAAUAUAAAAGUUGUUGAAUCUUUUCAUGUGCCAGUAUCCAUACCCUGAAGAAAAGUAGUUAAUGAAUAAAGCAAAUGUUCUCUUACAAUAUAUUUUGGAGGUUUGGGUUUUAAAAUUCCAUUUAAUGAAUUCAAGGAAUCAAUUAAAACACUAUGUGUCUCCUUAUAGAGGUUAUGUCAAUAUAUUGAUCAUUUAAUGAGGUCUUUUAGAUUAUUAUUAUUUUGUAUCAUGGGACUGAGGAUUUUGAAAGGGAAACAUGACCCAGCUGGUCAGAAAGGGAAUGCUAAUUUACUUGUUGACAUGCCAUUUAUUUUGUACAUUUCACUGUCGAAGCUACUGGCUUGGAUGCUUCUGAGAAAUCUA
Molecule: small RNA, 1010 nt
Filed under: Pan troglodytes (chimpanzee)
Lineage: Eukaryota; Metazoa; Chordata; Mammalia; Primates; Hominidae
Description: processed transcript
Source: RNAcentral